This 520-nucleotide ribosomal RNA is filed under the name uncultured Glomus. RNAcentral's name for it is "SSU rRNA". It matches the Rfam family "Eukaryotic small subunit ribosomal RNA", at positions 569 to 1093 of the family's 1831-position model. Lineage: Eukaryota; Fungi; Glomeromycota; Glomeromycetes; Glomerales; Glomeraceae. The record is from RNAcentral.
AGCAGCCGCGGUAAUUCCAGCUCCAAUAGCGUAUAUUAAAGUUGUUGCAGUUAAAGAGCUCGUAGUUGAAUUUCGGGAUCAGUUGGUCGGUCGUGCCUCGGUACGUACUGGUCAAAUUGAUUCCUACCUUCUGACGAACCACGAUGUCAUUAAUUUGGUGUCGCGGGAAAUCAGGACUGUUACUUUGAAAAAAUUAGAGUGUUUAAAGCAGGCUCGCGCUUGAAUACAUUAGCAUGGAAUAAUGAAAUAGGACGUUUGAUUCUAUUUUGUUGGUUUCUAGGAUCGACGUAAUGAUUAAUAGGGAUAGUUGGGGGCAUUAGUAUUCAAUUGUCAGAGGUGAAAUUCUUGGAUUUAUUGAAGACUAACUACUGCGAAAGCAUUUGCCAAGGAUGUUUUCAUUAAUCAAGAACGAAAGUUAGGGGAUCGAAGACGAUCAGAUACCGUCGUAGUCUUAACCAUAAACUAUGCCGACUAGGGAUCGGAUGAUGUAAUUUUUAAUGACUCAUUCGGCGCCUUACGG